GAUGAAGAACGUAGCGAAAUGCGAUAAGUAAUGUGAAUUGCAGAAUUCAGUGAAUCAUCGAAUCUUUGAACGCACCUUGCGCCCUUUGGCUAUUCCGAAGGGCAUGCCUGUUUGAGUAUCAUGAAAACCUCAACUCUCAUGGCUUGCCAUGAUGAGCUUGGACUCUGGGGGUCUUGCUGGCUUUACGGUCAGCUCCUCUCAAAUAAAUCAGCUUGCCGGUGUUUGGUGGGAUCACAGGUGUGAUAACUAUCUACGCUUGUGGUUUUCCGCCAGGUAACCUUCAGCAAUGGAGGUUCGCUGGAGCUCAUAAAUGUCUCUCCUCAGCGAGGACAGAUUUUGACCGUUUGAUCUCAAAUCAGGUAGGACUACCCGCUGAGCUUAAGCAUAUCAAUAAGCGGAGGA
RNAcentral lists this unclassified non-coding RNA (402 nucleotides) under soil metagenome. Its description in RNAcentral is "partial contains 5.8S ribosomal RNA, internal transcribed spacer 2, and large subunit ribosomal RNA". The stretch from base 1 to 121 matches the Rfam family "5.8S ribosomal RNA", at positions 35 to 154 of the family's 154-position model. The record is from RNAcentral.